AUUGAACGCUGGCGGCAGGCCUAACACAUGCAAGUCGAACGAGUGGCGGACGGGUGAGUAAUGUCUGGGAAACUGCCUGAUGGAGGGGGAGAACUACUGGAAACGGUAGCUAAUACCGCAUACCAUCAGAUGUGCCCAGAUGGGAUUAGCUUGUUGGUGGGGUAACGGCUCACCAAGGCUACGAUCCCUAGCUGGUCUGAGAGGAUGACCAGCCAAACUGGAACUGGGACACGGUCAAGACUCCGAAGGGAGGCAGCAGUGGGGAAUAUUGAACAAGGGGUGCAAGCCUGAUGCAGCAAUGCGGCGUGUAUGAAGAAGGCCUUCGGGUUGUAAAGUACUGUGAGCGGGGAGGCGUUACCCGCACAAGAAGCACCGGCUAACUCCGUGCCAGCAGCCGCGGUAAUUC
RNAcentral lists this ribosomal RNA (406 nucleotides) under uncultured bacterium. RNAcentral's name for it is "partial 16S ribosomal RNA". It matches the Rfam family "Bacterial small subunit ribosomal RNA", at positions 30 to 526 of the family's 1533-position model. The record is from RNAcentral.